RNAcentral lists this ribosomal RNA (619 nucleotides) under Botrytis sp. LH-2021a. RNAcentral's name for it is "partial large subunit ribosomal RNA". It matches the Rfam family "Eukaryotic large subunit ribosomal RNA", at positions 36 to 664 of the family's 3401-position model. The record is from RNAcentral. Lineage: Eukaryota; Fungi; Ascomycota; Leotiomycetes; Helotiales; Sclerotiniaceae.
UUGCAUAUCCAAUAGCGGAGGAAAAGAAACCAACAGGGAUUACCUCAGUAACGGCGAGUGAAGCGGUAAAAGCUCAAAUUUGAAAUCUGGCUCUUUUAGAGUCCGAAUUGUAAUUUGUAGAAGAUGCUUCGGGUGUGGUUCCGGUCUAAGUUCCUUGGAACAGGACGUCAUAGAGGGUGAGAAUCCCGUAUGUGACUGGAUACCUAUGCUCAUGUGAAGCUCUUUCGACGAGUCGAGUUGUUUGGGAAUGCAGCUCAAAAUGGGAGGUAUAUUUCUUCUAAAGCUAAAUAUUGGCCAGAGACCGAUAGCGCACAAGUAGAGUGAUCGAAAGAUGAAAAGCACUUUGGAAAGAGAGUUAAACAGUACGUGAAAUUGUUGAAAGGGAAGCGCUUGCAAUCAGACUUGCACUUGGUGUUCAUCAGGGUCUCGUACCCUGUGUACUUCAUCAAGUUCAGGCCAGCAUCAGUUUGAGUGGUUAGAUAAAGGCUUAGAGAAUGUGGCCCUCUUCGGGGGGUGUUAUAGCUCUAGGUGCAAUGUAGCCUACUUGGACUGAGGACCGCGCUUCGGCUAGGAUGCUGGCGUAAUGGUUGUAAGCGACCCGUCUUAACCCGGGAACCAA